This 274-nucleotide ribosomal RNA is filed under the name uncultured Oscillibacter sp. RNAcentral describes it as "partial 16S ribosomal RNA". It matches the Rfam family "Bacterial small subunit ribosomal RNA", at positions 61 to 339 of the family's 1533-position model. The record is from RNAcentral. Lineage: Bacteria; Bacillati; Bacillota; Clostridia; Eubacteriales; Oscillospiraceae.
AGGUUUCGGCCAAAUGAUAGGAAUGCUUAGUGGCGGACUGGUGAGUAACGCGUGAGGAACCUGCCUUUCAGAGGGGGACAACAGUUGGAAACGACUGCUAAUACCGCAUGAUGCGUAACUGGGACAUCCCGGAUACGCCAAAGAUUUUAUCGCUGAAAGAUGGCCUCGCGUCUGAUUAGAUAGUUGGCGGGGUAACGGCCCACCAAGUCGACGAUCAGUAGCCGGACUGAGAGGUUGACCGGCCACAUUGGGACUGAGAUACGGCCCAGACUCC